Hibiscus syriacus is the source of this 286-nucleotide long non-coding RNA. RefSeq lists it as uncharacterized. NCBI's taxonomy places the organism in Eukaryota, Viridiplantae, Streptophyta, Magnoliopsida, Malvales, Malvaceae. The record is from RefSeq and is a predicted model, not a curated record. The transcript is spliced from 3 exons.
CUGUAUUGAUGGCAUUGACUUGCCUACUGAGGAUGUUGGCCACGCCUUGCAAUUUCUAGAAUUUUGUGAAGCUUUUGGAGAGGUUCUCAAUAUGAAGAAAGGGCAAUCUCAGUUGAUACUUAGAGAGUUACUUACUGGAAAAAGCAAACGCAAACACAAACUACGUUAUCCUUCGAUUGUGCAGUUUCAUAUUCGACUGCUUUCCAUGAUGCAAAAGGAUUUGGGAAAAGAGUAUCCUUGCCUUAGUCGGGAUUUAAGUGAAACUUCAUGGGCUCAAGUUCUUGGA